ACAAGUACGGUGAUAAUCUUGAAGAUGAAUGGUUUUUUGUUUUUCUUCUCUUUCAAGUUUCAAGAAAAUUUUCUCAAUUAUCUAUUCAAGUUUGGGAUACUGAUGGAGAGUUUCUUCUAAUUGAAGCGGCGUUUCAUCUGCCCAAUUAGUUAAACCUUGAAACAAGCAAGAGUCGAGAUUUUACCAGAAGAGUUGCAGGGAACAUCAGCCGGCUCUAUUGUUUAGACGGUAACUAAUGCUGUGCUAUUUUUACGCUGGAUUGGUCAGCACAAGGUUCUCAUUGCCUUAUUCUUUUAUUUUGUAUGUUUUGCUCUUGUAAUUCUUAUCUAUGUUACAAGUUUUUUCUAUGUUCCAUCUAGAAUCAAUGAUGUGUUUUAUUACAGUAAUAUAUACCUACAGUUCAUUGUUUUUUUGUUUUAUGUAUUUUCAAUUAUUCACUAGAAGUGAAUCAAGAAGACAGUAUCUAUAAACUGUCUCAUUAGGUACUUGUCAAGCUAAACAUGAGAAGCAUCUGUUCAAGGGGGACCUUUUAGUCCAUAGCAACAGGUCCAUUUUCUCGCACACUACGGCAGCCGGUCGUGUACUCCUUUAUUUUUCGUUUAUGUUACGUCUUUUGUUGAGGUUAGAAUCGGGAAAAUGAAACGCUCAAGCUUUGUAGUAGCAGGUAUUCUACUCUCCCUUGUCACUACCAUAUUCUUUUUUUAGUUUCAUGGUUCAUCUGUUGGAAGAAAAGAAAAAAUUUAGCCACCCCAAACAUAAAUUCCUGGAUCUGUCGGGUUAGGGAACUAGAAUCGAUUCAAUUAGCGAUAAGGAAUAUAAUUUUAGAGUAUCCUAAUAGAGCUAGGUUGAAUAUGCUUCGAGUUAUGGUUCCUGUUAGCCAAGGUUUUGAAAUAUGAACCAUGUUUGAUUUCACUAGCGGUAGAGAGUUUCUAUGAUAGAGAUGUUGAUUCAAUGAAACACGCUGCUAAAAUAAAGAAAUUUGUAAGUGCCGGAACUAGUGAAGAGAUUUUUAGGUUUUUUAUUAGAAUGUCAAGGGCAAUGUAUGCACAAUUAGUUCAGCAAACUUUUCAAGCCCCCAAAUGUUAUUCAUUGUCGUCCAGGAACGAUAGUUCUGUUUAUGUUGAAGCUGAGCUGGGUAUGAAAAUAGCGUGUGGGUUUGAAAUGAUGUAUAAACAAAGACGCCAUGAAAAUUUGGAUGGCAAGGGAACUAGUACUUGGGAAGCUUUCAAAGAGAGCUUAGAGAUUAGUGGGUAUUUUAAACAACUACUUCCUGGAUCAAUUAUUGCUUUUCCCGGGCAAGGUAUUGUUGUUUUCAUAUAAACAAUUUCCACUUUGCAUAUUCUUUCAAUUCUUUUUGUGCUGUAAAUUGUGUUCAAUUGCUAGUAAUUUCCAUGCUCAUCAUGCAGGGUGUUUGAAUGUCUUUUUUCAGUGAAAUGAUGUAUUGACGAAAUCUUUGCUUUGCCCCACUCCUCUGAAGAAUUUAAGGGUCUUGAGCUUCCUCCUUCAGGUAAUGAUGCUUGUCUUUACUUUAGUGAAGAUGAGUUAAAAUUGGCCAUGGUAGAGAGAUAGAAAGAGUUGGAAGUCAAUGAAUUAAAGCAAAAAUAUAGUCAAAAGGCAAAUACAAAGAAGGAUGCGGAUCAUUCUGCUGAAAGUGCCGCAAAUGAUUCUGAUCUUGGUGAUAUCGUGAAUUCAUUGACAAGGAUAUUGGCGUGUCCUUUAGCUUUAGGUGUUAAGCCUAAUUAUUAGUAGUUUUUAGACUGGUUGGAGCAACUUUCAGCUGAAGGGGUGAAAUUGUUUCUCUACUGUAAAUUGUUUUUCUACUGUAAACAUAGUAAUCGAUGUAAAUGUUUACAUGUAAUAUAUAUAUAUAUAUAUAUAAAUUUAUUUUG
This is a long non-coding RNA of Papaver somniferum (opium poppy), 1889 nucleotides long. RefSeq lists it as uncharacterized. The record is from RefSeq and is a predicted model, not a curated record. The transcript has 3 exons. NCBI's taxonomy places the organism in Eukaryota, Viridiplantae, Streptophyta, Magnoliopsida, Ranunculales, Papaveraceae.